AGGUCAUCUUUGUGGCCACUUUCGAUGUCUCCUCUGAGGCCGACCUGGGAGACAGGCUGCAGAUCACAGCAAACGCCAGCAGUGACAAUGGUGGCCUGAUCACCGAGAGCAUAACUCAACAGGAGAAGCUGCUGGUCAAGUACGGCAUCUUGAUCAUCCUCACCAGCCUGAAGGAGUCGACCAAGUACGUCAGCUUCUCCGCCAAGGAGGCAGGGACAAGCGUGCCCGUGACACAUGCGUACAAGGUGAGGCCGGCACCUCAGAGUGUGAGGGGGGAGACGGGGCAAGAGGGAGGGAGUGGAACUGCCUGAGUUAGACUUAGUGGGUUAGAGUAUGGAGGGGUGGAGACGGGGAGGGAGCCAGGACUCCUGGGUUCUAUCCCCAGCUCUGGCAGGGGAGUGGGGUC
Non-coding RNA from Chrysemys picta bellii (western painted turtle), 406 nucleotides. The record is from RefSeq and is a predicted model, not a curated record. NCBI's taxonomy places the organism in Eukaryota, Metazoa, Chordata, Testudines, Emydidae.